This is a long non-coding RNA of Arabidopsis thaliana (thale cress), 415 nucleotides long. RefSeq annotates it as other RNA. The record is from RefSeq. The transcript has 2 exons. NCBI's taxonomy places the organism in Eukaryota, Viridiplantae, Streptophyta, Magnoliopsida, Brassicales, Brassicaceae.
GCCAUGUUAGAUUACAAGGUCACUGAACAUUUAUUUCUAGAUGAUUUGUAUACUAAAAUCUUAUACAUCUAAAUUUUGUGUUAUAUUAAGUGAUGAUGUUGUGUUAUAUUCAAAGAAGAAGAAGGAAGGGUUAGUUUGAUUUGAAGCAAAGAAACGAGACCGUACGGAUAUUUGUCGAAGAAUACAAAGACACUCGUUGGACCGACGAUGGGUACACUCAGGCCCAUCGUGGGACCUAUCUUCCUCUUCUCUCCGUUACUUCGCUAACGGCGCCGUUCUCUUUUCUCGAGCCUUUUCUUUCUUCUAUUCCCGUCCACAGGAAAAAAAAAAAGAAGAAGAAGGGAAAAUCCAAAACCUUUUCACAAAAUAUUUAAUAGCAGUUUCGAAAAAAAUGGUUUUCUGAUCAAAAUUUUUG